AGUGAACGCUGGCGGCAGGCCUAACACAUGCAAGUCGAGCGGCAGCGCGGGGGCAACCCUGGCUGCGAGCGGCGGACGGGUGAGGAAUUCGUCGGAAUCUGCCUCUUUGUGGGGGAUAACGAAGGGAAACAUACGCUAAUACCGCAUACGUCCUACGGGAGCAAGUGGGGGGCGGCAAGGCCUCACGCGGAGAGAUGAGCCGACGACCGAUUUGCUAGUUGGUGGGGUAAAGGGCCACCUAGGGGAGCAUUGGUGGCUGGUCUGCGAGGAUGAUCGGCCACCUUGGGACGGGAACACGGCCCAGACUACUACGGGAGGCAGCAGAGGGCAAUAGUGGGCAAUGGGCGCAAGCCUGAUCCAGCCAGGCCGCGUGUGUGAAGAAGGCCCUCGGGUUGUAAAGCACGUUUGUGCGGAGAGAACUCCCUGGGGCUAAUACCUUCGGGGGAUGACGGUACCGGAAGAAUAAGCACCGGCUAACUACGUG
This 484-nucleotide ribosomal RNA is filed under the name uncultured bacterium. RNAcentral describes it as "partial 16S ribosomal RNA". It matches the Rfam family "Bacterial small subunit ribosomal RNA", at positions 30 to 507 of the family's 1533-position model. The record is from RNAcentral.